UCGAACGGCAGCACGGGAGCAAUCCUGGUGGCGAGUGGCGAACGGGUGAGUAAUAUAUCGGAGCGUGCCCAGUCGUGGGGGAUAACGCAGCGAAAGCUGUGCUAAUACCGCAUACGAUCUCUGGAUGAAAGCGGGGGACUCGUAAGAGCCUCGCGCGAUUGGAGCGGCCGAUAUCAGAUUAGCUAGUUGGUGGGGUAAAGGCCCACCAAGGCGACGAUCUGUAGCUGGUCUGAGAGGACGACCAGCCACACUGGAACUGAGACACGGUCCAGACCCCUACGGGAGGCAGCAGUGGGGAAUUUUGGACAAUGGGCGCAAGCCUGAUCCAGCAAUGCCGCGUGCAGGAUGAAGGCCUUCGGGUUGUAAACUGCUUUUGUACGGAACGAAAAGGUCUGCCUUAAUACGGUGGGCCCAUGACGGUACCGUAAGAAUAAGCACCGGCUAACUACGUGCCAGCAGCCGCGGUAAUACGUAGGGUGCGAGCGUUAAUCGGAAUUACUGGGCGUAAAGCGUGCGCAGGCGGUUAUAUAAGACAGAUGUGAAAUCCCCGGGCUCAACCUGGGACCUGCAUUUGUGACUGUAUAGCUAGAGUACGGUAGAGGGGGAUGGAAUUCCGCGUGUAGCAGUGAAAUGCGUAUAUAUGCGGAGGAACACCGAUGGCGAAGGCAAUCCCCUGGACCUGUACUGACGCUCGUGCACGAAAGCGUGU
This 709-nucleotide ribosomal RNA is filed under the name uncultured bacterium. Its description in RNAcentral is "bacterial SSU rRNA". It matches the Rfam family "Bacterial small subunit ribosomal RNA", at positions 62 to 764 of the family's 1533-position model. The record is from RNAcentral.